AAUAUUGGGACAUAUAAAAAAAGACAAAUCUGUUCCGCAGAGUAGCUGUUGACAUAGUUGCGCAGACACUUUGUUGACUCUAGAGAACCUUGGGUCAAUCGCACAUCCCAGUGGCGGAGACUUUGCAUGCGGAUCUCAUCCAUAUCAACUUUCGAUGCCAGUUUCUGCGCCUACCAUGGUGACCACAGGUAACGGGGAAUCAGGGUUCCAUUCCAUACAGGGACCCUGAGAAUCAGCCACCACAUGCAAGGAAGGCAGCAGGCGCGCAAAUGACCCACUCCCAAUGCGGGAAGGUAGUGA
Molecule: non-coding RNA, 300 nt
Organism: Pelobates cultripes (western spadefoot toad)
Lineage: Eukaryota; Metazoa; Chordata; Amphibia; Anura; Pelobatidae
Source: the annotation of a GenBank genome assembly